This 1243-nucleotide ribosomal RNA is filed under the name metagenome. Its description in RNAcentral is "bacterial LSU rRNA". It matches the Rfam family "Bacterial large subunit ribosomal RNA", at positions 1564 to 2816 of the family's 2925-position model. The record is from RNAcentral.
UGAGUACGAGAUGCUACGGCAUCGAAGCAGUCUAUGUCAUACUUCCAAGAAAAGCUUGCACUGUCAUAAACAAAGAAUGCCUGUACCAUAACCGACACAGGUGGGUAGGUAGAGUAUACUAAGGGGCGCGAGAUAACUCUCUCUAAGGAACUCGGCAAAAUGACUCCGUAACUUCGGGAGAAGGAGUGCCUUAUUUCUAAGGUUGCAAUAACAAGAUCCAAGCAACUGUUUACCAAAAACACAGGUCUCCGCUAAGUCGUAAGACGAUGUAUGGGGGCUGACGCCUGCCCAGUGCCAGAAGGUUAAAGAAGUUGGUUAGCAUUAGCGAAGCUGAUAACUGAAGCCCUGGUGAACGGCGGCCGUAACAAUAACGGUCCUAAGGUAGCGAAAUUCCUUGUCGGGUAAGUUCCGACCCGCACGAAAGGCGUAAUGAUUUGGAUACUGUCUCGGAGAGGGGCUCGGUGAAAUAGACUUGUCUGUGAAGAUGCGGACUACCUGCACCUGGACAGAAAGACCCUAUGAAGCUUUACUGUAACUUGAGAUUGAAAUUGGACUUUAUUUGCGCAGUAUAGGUGGGAGGCGUUGAGAAUAAUCUUGUGGGAUUGUUGGAGCCAUCAGUGAGAUACCACUCUUGUAAUGUUAGAUUUCUAACUUUGUAUCAUUAUCUGGUCAAAGAACAGUUUCAGGCGGGCAGUUUGACUGGGGCGGUCGCCUCCCAAAGGGUAACGGAGGCGCACAAAGGUUUCCUCUGAACGGGUAGAAAUCGUAUCUAGAGUGUAAAGGCAUAAGGAAGCUUGACUGUGAGACCUACAAGUCGAGCAGGGACGAAAGUCGGUCUUAGUGAUCUGACGGUGCUGAGUGGGAAGGCCGUCACUCAACGGAUAAAAGUUACUCUAAGGAUAACAGGCUGAUCUCCCCCAAGAGUUCACAUCGACGGGGAGGUUUGGCACCUCGAUGUCGGCUCAUCGCAUCCUGGGGCGGUAGUCCGUCCCAAGGGUUGGGCUGUUCGCCCAUGAAAGCGGUACGCGAGCUGGGUUCAGAACGUCGUGAGACAGUUCGGUCCAUAUCCGGUGUAGGCGUUAGAAUAUUGAGAGGAGCCUUCUCUAGUACGAGAGGACCGAGAAGGACAUACCUCUGGUGUACCAGUUAUCGUGCCAACGGUAAACGCUGGGUAGCUAUGUAUGGAGUGGAUAACCGCUGAAAGCAUCUAAGUGGGAAGCCCACCUCAAGAUAAGUAUUCUCA